Arvicola amphibius (Eurasian water vole) is the source of this 161-nucleotide small nuclear RNA. RefSeq annotates it as U1 spliceosomal RNA. NCBI's taxonomy places the organism in Eukaryota, Metazoa, Chordata, Mammalia, Rodentia, Cricetidae. The transcript has a single exon. The record is from RefSeq and is a predicted model, not a curated record.
GUGCUUACCUGGCAGGGAGGCCCUGUGACGCUGAAGGUGGUUUCCCCAGGGUGAGGUUCACCCAAUGCACUCCGGCGUGCUGCCCACUGCGGUGGUUCCUCCCGUCUGGGAAACUCGACCUUGUAAUUUGUGGCCCUGGAAAAACGUGUGUAUGCACUCCC